Molecule: ribosomal RNA, 841 nt
Filed under: Marinilactibacillus sp. CPA-23
Lineage: Bacteria; Bacillati; Bacillota; Bacilli; Lactobacillales; Carnobacteriaceae
Description: bacterial SSU rRNA
Rfam family: Bacterial small subunit ribosomal RNA
Source: RNAcentral
UGCAAGUCGAACGAUGAAAUCCUCUGCUUGCAGAGGAUGGAUUAGUGGCGAACGGGUGAGUAACACGUGGGUAACCUGCCCAUAAGAGGGGGAUAACAUUCGGAAACGGAUGCUAAUACCGCAUAGGUCUUUGAGACGCCUGUCUCUUAGAUGAAAGGUGGCUUCGGCUGCCGCUUAUGGAUGGACCCGCGGCGUAUUAGCUAGUUGGUGAGGUAAUGGCUCACCAAGGCUGUGAUACGUAGCCGACCUGAGAGGGUGAUCGGCCACACUGGGACUGAGACACGGCCCAGACUCCUACGGGAGGCAGCAGUAGGGAAUCUUCCACAAUGGGUGAAAACCUGAUGGAGCAAUACCGCGUGAGUGAAGAAGGUCUUCGGAUCGUAAAGCUCUGUUGUUAGAGAAGAACAAGUCGGGUAGUAACUGCCCCGACCUUGACGGUAUCUAACCAGAAAGUCACGGCUAACUACGUGCCAGCAGCCGCGGUAAUACGUAGGUGACAAGCGUUGUCCGGAUUUAUUGGGCGUAAAGCGAGCGCAGGCGGUCUUUUAAGUCUGAUGUGAAAGCCCACGGCUCAACCGUGGAGGGUCAUUGGAAACUGGAAGACUUGAAUGCAGAAGAGGAAAGUGGAAUUCCAUGUGUAGCGGUGAAAUGCGUAGAUAUAUGGAGGAACACCAGUGGCGAAGGCGACUUUCUGGUCUGUAAUUGACGCUGAGGCUCGAAAGCGUGGGGAGCGAACAGGAUUAGAUACCCUGGUAGUCCACGCCGUAAACGAUGAGUGCUAAGUGUUGGAGGGUUUCCGCCCUUCAGUGCUGGAGCUAACGCAUUAAGCACUCCGCCUGGG